This 148-nucleotide ribosomal RNA is filed under the name uncultured bacterium. Its description in RNAcentral is "partial 16S rRNA". It matches the Rfam family "Bacterial small subunit ribosomal RNA", at positions 355 to 498 of the family's 1533-position model. The record is from RNAcentral.
UGAGGAAUAUUGGUCAAUGGGCGAGAGCCUGAACCAGCCAAGUAGCGUGAAGGAUGAAGGCUCCUAUGGGUUGUAAACUUCUUUUAUAUGGGAAUAAAGUGUUCCACGUGUGGCAUUUUUGUAUGUACCAUAUGAAUAAGGAUCGGCU